AGCAGCUUGGCUUAGUGGAAAGAGCACGGGCCUGGGAGUCAGAGGAUCCGGGUUCUAAUCCCGGUUCUGCCA
Non-coding RNA from Ornithorhynchus anatinus (platypus), 72 nucleotides. The record is from Rfam. NCBI's taxonomy places the organism in Eukaryota, Metazoa, Chordata, Mammalia, Monotremata, Ornithorhynchidae.